This 460-nucleotide ribosomal RNA is filed under the name uncultured bacterium. RNAcentral describes it as "partial 16S ribosomal RNA". It matches the Rfam family "Bacterial small subunit ribosomal RNA", at positions 338 to 795 of the family's 1533-position model. The record is from RNAcentral.
CCUACGUGAGGCAGCAGUGAGGAAUAUUGGUCAAUGGCCGCGAGCCUGAACCAGCCAAGUAGCGUGAAGGAUGACUGCCCUACGGGUUGUAAACUUCUUUUAUAAAGGAAUAAAGUGAGGCCCGUGUGCCUUUUUGUAUGUACUUUAUGAAUAAGGAUCGGCUUACUCCGUGCCAGCAGCCGCGGUAAAACGGAGGGUGCGAGCGUUAUCCGGAUUUCUUGGGGUUAAAGGGAGCGGAGAUGGGUUGUUAAGUCAGUUGUGAAAGUUUGCGGCUCAACCGUAAAAUUGCAAUUGAUACUGGCAGUCUUGAGUACAGUUGAGGUAUGCGGAAUUCGUGGUGUAGCGGUGAAAUGCUUAGAUAUCACGAAGAACUCCGAUUGCGAAGGCAGCUUACUAACCUGCCACUGACAUUGAUGCUCGAAAGUGUGGGUAUCAAACAGGAUUAGAUACCCUUGUAGUC